This 759-nucleotide long non-coding RNA is filed under the name Elaeis guineensis (African oil palm). Its description in RNAcentral is "long non-coding RNA (EGUI_LNC081767)". The record is from RNAcentral. Lineage: Eukaryota; Viridiplantae; Streptophyta; Magnoliopsida; Arecales; Arecaceae.
AAUCCAAUUCAAUUGGACUUGAUCCAAAAAUAAUUACUCAAUCAAAUUGAGUUAAUUAGUGAUCAAAUCACUAAUUAAACCUCUCAUAAAUAUUGAGUCCAAAUUCGAUGGGCAAUCAGGCAUCAGAAUUUAUUGAUAUGUAACCCUGAUCGAAAAGUCCCAACCAGUGGGACUUUUGACCCCGGUAUCCAUAAUGUGUGGAACUCAUGAUCAAAAAAUUUUGAUUCUCGAUCACUGAGUCCCAAACAUAUAAGAUUCUACACCAGCCAUUAGAUCAGAUAGGAACCUCUAAUGUGUGUGACCCCACAAGUUCGAACCUAAGUCGGUAGCACAGGAACCAAUUCCUGUACUAAUCGAAGUGACCAUCUAGCAAUGGUAUUCGACAUCCGGAUACGUCGAAGAGUCACAAUCGCAACACUCAGAAUCUACAUGAAUAUGGUUACUGUAUAAUUCAUCCUUUUGACCCCUGUGUUUAGGAUGACUCAGGGUUAAACUGUCAACCCUGAUCAGAUCAUCUGAAUCAUGCUCAACUCAAAUAGUCCUGUGACUCCUCACAAGGACUACCCUGGCCAAGGUUUUGCUAAAUUGAAACACGACUGUACACAGCUCCUAAACUGGAGUGGUCAAUCCCAUCUUGACACAUGCACCGACAAGUCAAGUACUUGACUAUACCCAGCAGCCUUCCGUCACUGAAUUAGAAAUUCAGGUAGUCUAGUGUCUAAGUACAGUGAGUUGCUUGCAAGUCACCGUGGCGGUCUC